This 255-nucleotide ribosomal RNA is filed under the name uncultured bacterium. RNAcentral's name for it is "partial 16S ribosomal RNA". It matches the Rfam family "Bacterial small subunit ribosomal RNA", at positions 78 to 334 of the family's 1533-position model. The record is from RNAcentral.
UCUUUCUUUGCUGGCGACCGGCGCACGGGUGAGUAACACGUAUCCAACCUGCCCUUUACUCGGGGAUAGCCUUUCGAAAGAAAGAUUAAUACCCGAUAGUAUAAUGAUUCCGCAUGGUUUCAUUAUUAAAGGAUUCCGGUAAAGGAUGGGGAUGCGUUCCAUUAGGUUGUUGGUGAGGUAACGGCUCACCAAGCCUUCGAUGGAUAGGGGUUCUGAGAGGAAGGUCCCCCACAUUGGAACUGAGACACGGCCCAA